RNAcentral lists this ribosomal RNA (432 nucleotides) under uncultured bacterium. RNAcentral describes it as "partial 16S ribosomal RNA". It matches the Rfam family "Bacterial small subunit ribosomal RNA", at positions 29 to 506 of the family's 1533-position model. The record is from RNAcentral.
AACGAACGCUGGCGGCAUGCCUAACACAUGCAAGUCGAACGAGACCUUCGGGUCUAGUGGCGCACGGGUGCGUAACGCGUGGGAACCUGCCCUUAGGUUCGGAAUAACUCCCCGAAAGGGGUGCUAAUACCGGAUAAUGUCUUCGGACCAAAGAUUUAUCGCCUUUGGAUGGGCCCGCGUUGGAUUAGCUAGUUGGUAGGGUAAAAGCCUACCAAGGCGACGAUCCAUAGCUGGUCUGAGAGGAUGAUCAGCCACACUGGGACUGAGACACGGCCCAGACUCCUACGGGAGGCAGCAGUGGGGAAUAUUGGACAAUGGGCGAAAGCCUGAUCCAGCAAUGCCGCGUGAGUGAUGAAGGCCUUAGGGUUGUAAAGCUCUUUUACCCGGGAUGAUGAUGACAGUACCGGGAGAAUAAGCUCCGGCUAACUCCGU